GAGCCCUUGUUCUUUCUCUCCCCAUUCAUCUCUCAUUCAAUACUUCCUGUCAAAGGUAAACAAAUGGUGCUCCGCACCCCAAAGUGUAAAAUGAUUCAAAAUGUAAGCCGAAUACGCUUAUUUAAGAGUUCAAAAUGCCCGGACAGAAGAGAAAAUAUAAUGUUCGCUUUCCACCCGGACGCAUCAAGAAAAUAAUGCAAAAGGAUACAGAGGUUGGACGAAUCGCUUCAGCGGUGCCAAUCAUCAUAUCUAAAGCUUUGGAAAUGUUCCUCAGGUCUCUUCUCAUCGUGAGCUGUAAAAUAACACAGUCCAGGAACAGCAGAGUGAUGUUCAUAAAUCACAUGAAACGGUGGCAAAGCGUGUCUAUCAAAGCCAGGUCACCGGAGAGGGAGGGGCCGCCCCAGAAAGCCACCAAUGAGCUGGCCAUCAACAGUGAUUCAUCCACUGUGAGUUAUUGUGAUUGAUUUCACUGACACAGUGUAAAGGAACUUGACAAGUGAUAUUUGUAUUUUUAAUCUUGUCAAUGUUCUUUAUGUACAUUUCUUUUUCUGGACUCUGAGCUGUUCAUCUGCUUGGAAACUCAUUCACCUUGACCGGGCUUUUGAAAAGUUUGAAAAGAUCGAACAAUCUCUCGCUGAAAACUGCAGUGUUAUUUAUGAAGACCCAGCAUCUCUUGGGAGGGGGGUGUCAUUGUUAUUCUUAGCAUCUGACAUACUGUAAAUGUUUAAUUUUUAAUUUGUGAAAUUGCUCUCUUGUGGUAUUCUAUUGACCAUGAAAUUAAUUAUAUAAUUUUUGUUUUCAAGUUUUCCAGGGAGUUUUAAAUUCUGAUAAGAAAAUAAUUUAUUAUAUAAUAAGAGAUUUUGUGAUUCUGAGCAGCUCCACUAUUUUUCUUUCAGUUGGAUUCGUAAUUAAAACUGUAGUUUGAACUGUCUUAUGUUUAUAAUGUUACAUGAUUUUCUAAGCUGAGAUAAAUGUGAUAAUAUAAUAUUUAUAGAUAAAGGUAAAUAUUGAUUCUUUUCUUUUAUCCACAUUAGGU
Cyprinus carpio (common carp) is the source of this 1036-nucleotide long non-coding RNA. RefSeq lists it as uncharacterized. Lineage: Eukaryota; Metazoa; Chordata; Actinopteri; Cypriniformes; Cyprinidae. The transcript is spliced from 5 exons. The record is from RefSeq and is a predicted model, not a curated record.